CUCAGUUCUCUCCUCACCUCUGCCGGGAAUAUGUCAUAUUUUACCCCGGGAUCAUUAUCGUGAGUUUUGGAAGCGUCUUUGUAAAGGAGACUUGCUCAGGGAUCAAACGUGAGAAACUAAUGUUUCAGUCACAGCUGGAGCUUGGCUUCUUUCUUGCCCGGGAGGGUCACAGAGCUUUCAAAAACCCUCAGUGAGGCACUCAGAGCACCAAGAAAGCCAGCAGGACCCUUUGAGAAGUGAUGUACACAGUGCUGGAAGAUCCUUCUGGCAAAAUCUCCACACUCAACAGAUAGAAAUGCCAAGCUGCAGGAGCUGCAAAUAGGAAUUCAUCUCAGCAGCCAACAGCACAACGUGGAUUUUGGGGGAAAUGGCAAACUGCAUGUGA
Pogoniulus pusillus (Red-fronted tinkerbird) is the source of this 385-nucleotide long non-coding RNA. RefSeq lists it as uncharacterized. The transcript has 4 exons. Lineage: Eukaryota; Metazoa; Chordata; Aves; Piciformes; Lybiidae. The record is from RefSeq and is a predicted model, not a curated record.